RNAcentral lists this non-coding RNA (28 nucleotides) under Mus musculus (house mouse). Lineage: Eukaryota; Metazoa; Chordata; Mammalia; Rodentia; Muridae. The record is from RNAcentral.
UGCCACAAUGCAGAUUUUUGUGAAGACC